GCUUCCGGUGCAAGGAAGUCCCGGCUCUUCCGCAGAAAGUUCAGGCACCGGCCCUAGCUCCACCCCCAACCAAGGCAUGCUUUCUUCCUCAGGCUCCGCCUCCACCACAGAAUCCCGCCCCUCCGCCCGCCACUGGUGGGAAUCCUGCGAGUCUAUGCCGGUCGUCCUCCAGAAUAGGAACGGGGUUAAAGGGAGCUGGGCCGCCGUGCUGGAAUGCUGACGCUCCAGACCUGCGCCUGGAAAUCCGCCCCCGGGAAACCGAGGCCAGAACCUCGGAGAGGAACGGCCGGGCAUGCCGAAGGGACCUGUACCAGCAGUGCUGAGAUCCGGCGGCAGCGUCUCAGUUGGAACUGCUGAGGACAGAGACGUGGCCUCGGGACGGGAAGCCCGAUUCUUGGGGAAGUUGGAUCAGAUGAAGUGGAGCGCUGGCUUUCCGCUACAUUCUCAUUCGCUUUAUAGACACCUUCCCACGCUGCGAAGUGAAUUGCGUGUUCCCCAUCCCGGCGCAACUCAAGCCAGGCUCCGUCCCUCUCACCCGGUCCCGCCCUGCUCCCGGCGCUACACUUUCUGCCGGCUUAGGAAUGUGAGUUUGGCCAGAAGAGUGCACGCCUUUGUUUGCAGCACUCCGAUGCCGAGCCAGGCGGGUCUCUGAGGCCACUUCUAAUCCUCACUCCUGCCUCCAAAAAAGAAAAUUCCCAGGCUGCGAUGACAUUCCAGAGUUGUCACAUUCUUCGCAACGUGCAGUAAGGCCCUGUUGAGGCUGCAAACCAGCCUGGACACAAGAUUCUGCAUACACUGUCGACGACUUUCCUAUGACUACAUUUCUUCGCACGUGGAUCCACUUUUCUCACUGAUCUGUAGAACUGUGCGCCUGACAUCAUCUCUCUGGGACUGGAGCUGCAGGCAUAUACACCCAGUUAAAUGGUCUUGGGGAUAGCCCGCCCUCCGAUGUGCAUCCUAGGACAAGAAAACUAGGACUGGAAGGUUCUCAACUGUACAAGGAAGGGCACAAGCAAGAGCUGCAGUGACUCUGCACAGAAUAAACUCAGUGGCACCCCUGUACGCCUCAGCUGGCAACAACUUGAUGCUGUCUGGGCACCAAGUCCUUAACCACGUGGUUAAGGACUCCUGUCUCCAUCUGAAAGCCUCCAGUGCCUGCCCAGAAAGGGGCUGGCCUCCAGGUCAGUGUGAGAGUGAUGGUGGAAACGGACUCAGUGCUGUGCCAAGGCUCACAGACCCAUCCCACAUCAUGCGCUCCUGUGCGCUGAGUGAGUCAGAGCCGGUUGCUCUCUGCUGUUACUGUUUUGAGUUUUA
Meriones unguiculatus (Mongolian gerbil) is the source of this 1314-nucleotide long non-coding RNA. RefSeq lists it as uncharacterized. NCBI's taxonomy places the organism in Eukaryota, Metazoa, Chordata, Mammalia, Rodentia, Muridae. The record is from RefSeq and is a predicted model, not a curated record. The transcript is spliced from 3 exons.